Molecule: long non-coding RNA, 6880 nt
Organism: Lemur catta (Ring-tailed lemur)
Lineage: Eukaryota; Metazoa; Chordata; Mammalia; Primates; Lemuridae
Exons: 3
Source: RefSeq, a predicted model, not a curated record
UUGAAGUUCUUGCAGAUGUUCACCAGGGAAAGUAGAAGGUUUUUGGAAGGGAAUAUUUCAGGAUUCAGGCAGUGCUCUGAACAGGAACUAAAUAUUUUUGGAAGUGGAAGGGAAUUGAAAGAGAGGCCCAGUUUCAUUCCAUUUAAACUCCCCAAGUCAAAAGUAUAAAGUAGUUGGACAUGGAUAUUGCUAAAAAUCAAAGUUGUAUCUUUUCUUGUUAUGUAAUCGUAAAGGGAAAUUGUAAGCAUUGUGCGAGGUUUUCUGACAUGGGAUUAGAGAAAACCCAAAUAAUCUCUUUAAGAUUAAAAAAAAAAGUGCGGAGGCUUUCCACAAUGAAAAGAAAUUAAACCACAGCUUAGCACGUUACAAGCUCAUGGCAAGAGCAAACUCGUGGAAUACGAGCAAAGUUUAAAAAGAAAUACAGUCAUGCUGGUGAAUUUUAGGACAGAAGGUGGUUCAGUGGCUUGCACUGGAAUGAUCUCUUGGCACAUGCAAGUUUGAACAUCCAGUGAAACGAUUCCUGUGUUUCCUCUCUCGCCGGCUAAUGUCAUCAAUAUUUAUAUUUAGUCAGGGACUUUUCCAAUUCUGCCUUCAAGUAAGAAUGAAAACUGCUCUGUUUACUAAUAAUUGCUUGGCAUGCAGGAGUCUGACACGGGUGAGCCUUAUUUUCUCUGACCUCAUCUUGGGAUUAAGUUUCUGCAGAGACUUAUCAGAUACAAACCAUGCGAGGAGAAGUCUGUUUUCUAACCCAGUAGGCCUGCUCCCUCGGGCCCCCCACGUUUUUUCUCCAUGGAAAACACCUUUAGUCAUCUGAAGAGAUUCUCUGCAAAGAAAACAGUUGGUACCACCAGAAAGGCCAUGCAAGUUGCAACAAAUUCAACAGGCACAAAAGUUUUAAUUACGCCUAAAAACACUGGUUGUAAGAUGUUAGAGCAGGGGAAAAAGGCAGGGGAGGAACAGACCCCAAAAGCACCCCCAUCCUAAAAUGGGUGCGUUGGGGUGUCCAGCGUUGCUCCAAGACAAUUCGGGCAGCUAUUUUAAGGCCACUUCCCUUGCAAUGUGGUUUGAAAUAUUACCAAAGCUUCCACGGGGCGCAUUAGUGUGAAUUGCAAAUCAGAGCAUUUCUUUAAUCCUCUUUCAAGGCCGGGCUUUGGAUCACUGGUGUGGAGGGGCUCCCCACUGCUCCUGGCGCAGGGGGGACCAUUCAAGGGGGCAGCUUCCCUCCGCUAUUCCCACACUCCAAAAAACAACACUGCAGACAGACACCCUCCAACUAAAUUAGAUUAAACUCCUUCUCUUGCACAGAGCGUUGGCCUUUUCCCUGCCCAAGCUGCCGCCUUCGGCUCCUCCUCAUUUAAAGAUACAGGAUUCCUUUUAUCUCAGCACCAACUGCAAUACAUAACGGGCAAUACACAACAGCAAACAUUAUAGAUAGAUAGAUAGAUAGAUAGAUAGAUAGAUAGAUAGAUAGAUAGAUAGAUAGUUUUUAAAAUGACAAAGCCGGCCUUCUAUCUAAAUCCUUUCAAAUGUCAACGAGGUUAUCUGUUUAAAAUACAGGAAGACUUGCAUGCCGGCUAGGCCAGUUGACCCUUAACCCGGGGCAGACCUGGCCCUGCAGAAAGCACUUAAACCUGUAAUUCCGUCCUAGGCUGUUUUUUGAAGAGUUAUAUAUGAAAAAAGAAAAUGACAGAAUCCCAGCAAAAAUGAAACGAGAGAGAGAGUGUGUGUUUUAUUUUGGUGUGUGUUUAUAUUCCUGACAGCUUCAUGGACCGGUUAUUGGGAAUGCAUGCCCGUUAUAGGCGUUCAAACUUCAUUCUUUGCCAUAAACGCUUUGCUUCUCGGCCUUCUCGGGCUGUGCUGAUUUAAUUAUGCACCUUCCCAUCUGUUUCCUUUGGCUCUGCUCCUGCACGCUGGGACCCUUUUUUGUGUGUGUCCUGAGGAGCCGGGGCUACCAUAUGGGGGCUGAGGGGUCAGCCCACCACGGCCUGCGGCCCCUGCACAGGUGAGGAAGGGCCGGGGGUUUAACAGGCAGCUGCUCCUGCAGGGACAAAGCAGGCCCAGCAGCUGGCCCUGCCUUCAACAGGAGCGGGAAGAAUGACCUCACGUAGCUCUGAGUCUGAAGCCACGCGGCCAAACCGUGGUGAGCUGGGGGAAAACUGGGCCGGAUGCCUGGGUCCGAAUGCCCCUCUGUACCCUCUAGCCGUGCGGCCUGGGAUGAGCAUCUCCUGGUCUCUCUGCCUCAGUUUUCUCAUCUGCAAAAUGGGGCCUCACAGGGCACAGUGAGGAUGACGCCUAACACAUGGGAAGUGUUAACAACACCAAGCAUGCAGUAAGUGCUCAGUUAACGGUACCGUUGUGAUUGCUGAAAUAUAGUGUAACCGGAAGGCGAGAACUCAGCGAAGAGAGGCCCCGCAACGUGACAUCUGUGGGCAGGGGUGUGGGGACGGGAGAGGUUAGGAGCACAAUAACACUCGCUGGCAGUGGCAUCACGUAAAUAAUAAACAAGCUAACAAGGGCCGAAGCGGAGUGGGCGUGUGGCACGUGCUGUUCUGAGCCUCUGACGUGAAACAACUCAGAGUCCUCACGGCUGCCCCAGGGAGCAGGUCGGGGGAAGGUUCCCAUUUCAGAGGUGAAGGGUGGGGCCGGGGUGGGGCAGCUUUGGGCGUCUAAGUCGCAAGCCCGAGGCCAACCGGCUAACAGGGGCGGAGUCCACUCUGGCCACUGUGCCACCAGGCCCUGUGUGGCAGAUGUCCUCGCACGCAGUAAAUGUCUGCAGUGGUGCCGGGACUUUCAGCGAGGGAUCCCGUUUCGGCCGGGGGGAUCAUCAAGUUGUGGUUUAUGGCCUUUUUCUCUUCUUCUGCCGCUUUCUUGUCAUCUCAAUAUUCUGAUUCCUCGUGUUCAAAGGGAUUCUUUAGAGUCACAGAUGCUGGGGAAGGAGCGGGGGAAACACCACAUGGGCGGUGUUGAUGUGUGUGGGUUCACCCUUGUCCUCAGCUGUGCAACCCCUGGCAAGUUACUCAACCUCUCUGAGCUUCGUCCUGUUUCCUCUGCUGUAGAAUGAGGGCAGUAACAACCACUUGAUGAUGUUUGGGGUAGGGAUUAAGUGAGGUAACUCGUGUUAAACACUUACAACCGUGUCUGGCACAUAACGUUAGCCGUGUGGGAUUAACUUGUCUGCAGACUUUCUGGUCAGUUGACUUUUCUUUGUUAAAUUCUUCGUUUGUCUUGUCUGGCUAGAAGUCAAGAUGGUUUACUAACAGCAUCACUCACGAGUCUUUUCCUUUUCCGCAGAGCUGCUGGACUCGUGUAGCGUCCCGUCUUCCUUGAACUCAACCACAGCGAGCGGCUGACAGCCCCUGGCCUGCCCGGGGGGUCUCUGCAAGGGCCCAGGAAACCAUCUCUUUGGUAACCACACUGUUUGGUGAGCUGCUCGCUGUCUCAGUUGCUGCCGAAUGGGUGUGUUUGAAGCCAGAGGGGUGACAUUCCCAAGCCACCGUCUGCCUGUCGGAGGCUGGUACUGACCGCCCGCACGUCGUCCCACCCCAGCUUCCAGAAGAAUCUGCUGGACUAGGAACGAGGCAUUUGGGGGAGCACAGGGGCCAGGCCAGCAGGGCCCCACUGAAGAGGGCAGCCGUUCCGCCACAUUUCGGCAGCUUGAAUGUGUAUCCACCGGGCCAGGGAGUGGCUUAAUUACCAGCGUAAUAGCAGGUGCACUUACGGCUUCGGGUUUCAGGGAGGAAAAGCAUCAUCCCAAAAUGCUUUUGAUGUGGUUUAUUAAGCCAUGAGGCCGCAGUGACCGUGAAUUUUAAGUGCUUGUUGCAGUACAUGGAAAAAAGCGUAUGCCAUGAUUGUAGAGGACAUUCCAGAUCCCAGAUCCCAGGUUUGGAAGGAUGUCAGGAAUGUCCUCUGCUCCCUCCUCCUGCUUCCUGAAGGACCAGGUCUACACCAGCCCACACGACUAGCUAUUAAUGCAACACAUAGACAAACUCCCAGAGAAAAGAGCCCCCGCAAACUACAGCGUCACUCGGCCUUUGGAAUCAGAAAGUGCCGCCUGACGUCUCGCCGAGAUCCCACUGCUGGACUUUAAGCAGGUUCCUUCUCCACCUUAGAGGUCAAACACGUCCUCAGCUCAGCCUUCAGAUAGCAGCAGGUUUGAAACAGGCAAAGUCUUCGUGAGCAAAUCCUUUGCGUACGGCGUCUCCGCCUGUGUUUCAGCAUGAUAUUUAAACACCGGGCCAGAUGUCUGCGCAGUUCUUCUACUCAUGUGAAAGCUAUUUCAUCAGAGAAGUAAAGAGCCAGCCACCGUGGCCCGCGAUCUGCCCUGACGCCCGUGUUUGUAAAUAAAGUUUUAUCGCCACACGGCCCCACGCCCAGGUCGCUACUAGAAGCCUUGAAAUCCAUGCGUUCUGCUCAAAGUUGCUACUAGAAACCUUGAAGUCACAUGUGGGUUCUCAUCACAUUUCCACUGGCCUGUGCUCUCGAGACACAUGGUGCACACGCGUGUCUUAGAGGCCAAAUCCACGCCCCACACGUUUUGUUCGGACUCUGCGGUGUUUCAAAGAAAUUUGGGUUUGUUCGUGGACUGUAAGGCAUCACCGUAUUUCACAUCAAGUUCAGAGCUCUCACCUUCUCGAGAAAAUCUCAGGGCCUGGGUACAGGUCUGGCUGCAGGUGAGCAGCCGCUGCGCCCGCAGACAGGACACUGCGAGGACCCGGAGCUCCAGCUCGCCGCUGCCCACGCGUCACUUCUACGGCCCGAGAGGCCGCGGGGCAGAGGGCAGGCGGAGUCCGAUCCGGACGCCAGGCUCGGUAGAAAACUUCCCCGUUCACCUCGGAUAAGAACCCUGCUUCUGGGUUAGACGGGACAAGAGAGUCCGGGGGGGCCCAAUUACAAAGCUGAGAAAGCGAAGGUGUCUUUGCCUCAGUUUCCCUGCAUGUGAGGAGCAUAAUUACACGGCCAGGAGUUGGGAAACUUAAUUACUGUUUGCGAAGCCCCGUGAGAUGACGGGGUUAGACUUGCGGGAGGGGUUCUCACCCGCGCUUUGCCUUUGGUUCUCGCUCCAAGCCAAACCACGGUGAGUCACCCUGGCAAACCCAUGCCGGGACCCGCCAACACAGACAGGCCUGUUGGCGGCAGCUCCGCGGAGGGCCGGCCUGGCGGGGUCCAGAGCGGCCCGAGUGGCUCCUACAAAGCUCCCGGUCGUGACAGCACCUUCCCUUUGGGUGCCGCUGGCGGGGGUCGGCGAAGAGGAGGGAGCUUCCUUAGCUUCCGACGCCGACUCAAAUGCUCCGUGGAGAUGUGCUGUUUUCUGGCUUCCCCGAGAGUCUGCGACAGGGCCAGGCUCAAGUCCCCACCGUCGGACGUCCCAAACUUGCUCAGCCACGGGCACGUCACUGGAAUUGGAAUGAUUGAUACUCCCCACGUCAAACACCCCUCCCCUUUGAGACCCCCUAAUCAGUGGGGUGUCCCUGCACGGCCGGGAGCCCGGCAGGGGUCACCAUCAGGCCCCGGACUCAUCCAGCACCUUCCAGAGGGGGUGGGGGCCCCAGCCAGAUUGAAACUCCGGGGGGCCGGGCGGGAGGCCCCACACUGAGGUCCACGCCCGGCAGGCAGGCCCUACUGUGCGCCCUGCCCGUGGGUGCUGCUCCAUGUGGAGGACGAGGUGGGGGGCACAGCGCCGCCUUCUCCGGGGCACGGGCUGCCCCGCGGGUGCUGCCAGGUCGCUGCGGGCAGUGUGUGCGUAGCGGCUGCCCUCCAGCCCGGGGGACCCGGGCAUUUUAAGGCAAAACCCUCCCAGCUGGGGACCGUGCGGCUCUGCAGCAGGCAGAGGCGUGAGCGGGAAGGAGAGGCCGGGUCCAGCCGUGGAGGACGUUGGGGACGCUGCGGGGUUUGCGCGGAUGGAGGGAGGGAGGCCCGUGGGCAGGUCGUGGCCGUCUUCCUUCCUCACUGCCACACCCUGGGGACCCACGGGACAGUGCCUUGCUGGCCCCCGGGUCAGCCAGAAACUGGAAGGCAGGACUCCAGGGCCUCGGGGGCUCGGCCAGAGCAGCUCGUGGACCAGGCCCCUGCCGGGUCCCCAGAAACUCUGCGGCAAAGCGGCAGAGGACACCGGGGCCGGAUGGGGGCUGCACCCAAGCGCAGGACUAAAAGUCAUUCCUGGGGGACAUUCCGCCUCCACCCACGAGAAGCUCCCUGCUGAGUUCCCCGCGCUGCCCUCCCUCAGGAACCCGCCAUGGCUGGCAACUCCCCGAUCCCGUCUCCCCCUGAGCUUCUGUUGUCCCAAUCUCCAGGCCCCGGCCCUCGAAUGUGGCCCGAACCUUUCAGUUCCGUGUGGCUCGGACUCCUGAGGACGUUGCCUCCCUGAAGACACACAGUAUCUCUGUGUCUAUUUUCCUCCUUAGGAGGGGGCGGCAGGGUGGUCUGCACCCCUCCCUGGAGCCUGGAGCAGGGUGGGCUGGUUGUGGCAUCCGUGGGCGGCAGACGGUGGCGGGUGCGCGGGACACUGCUGGUUCUAUUCGGAAAUUAUCCCGGGUGUGAUGGCGCCAAGGCCGACCCAGCACACGCCUUGUGCUCUUGUCUCGCAGCCCUCGCGACACCCCAGAGGUCAAGCCUGUCAUUGCGGCCCCAUUUCACAGCUCAGGAAACCGAGGCCAGAGAGGGCAGCGGCCUGCUCAGGGUCACGGGGCGGGGCAGAGCCGGCAGCAGCCUGUGCCCGCCGCCUCCGGAGUCCGCGUCCUUUGUCAUCCGCCUGGCUUUCAAUGUCAGGAAAAAACCCUUUCAGACACCAGCGGAGUUUGGCUUCUGAGCUGCCGUGGGCUAAAAACAGAACAGGGAUGAUUUGCAGCGAGGCAGCUGGGGAGGCUGAUGACCUCGCUCAAGG